ACAAGUACUUUCACCUGAACCUCCUUGCUACCUCCUGUCUCAUCAUCCAGUGCCUCAUCACCACUUUCCCCUCCAACUGCCCUCCCAUAAUCUUUGGUGGACCCCUCAAACAAGCUCAUAGGUAUCACCAUAUUCAAUGUUGGCCGACCCCGCAGCUCUUGCCUGCGCUGCUCCAUGCUCUCCUGCAAUACUGCCUUUAACUCCUGCUCAAAAAUUUCAGCUUCCAAUGGAUCCACCUCAGCCACUUUUUGUCUGAAAUGGACUUCAUCAUCCUCAUCGGAAACUGGUCCACCCCCAUCAUCAUCAUCCUCCUCCUCUGUCUCACAUCCAUCAUCACGAUUCUCUUCGUCCAACUCCUCUUCAUCAUGCCCUUCCUGGUCAAGGGUGUCGCUGCCUGAAUCAGUGUCACUUUCACCAAUGUCCUCAUGGAUUCCACCAUUUUCCUCAU
Molecule: unclassified non-coding RNA, 448 nt
Filed under: Hevea brasiliensis (rubber tree)
Lineage: Eukaryota; Viridiplantae; Streptophyta; Magnoliopsida; Malpighiales; Euphorbiaceae
Source: RNAcentral